AUAAUUUUACCAUAUGUUGUGUUCAUGCUUCAUAGCAUUUUUGUUUCAAUCAUGUUGGAAUCAUGAGUCCCAAAUACAUAUUCAUAUCACACUCAUGUUCAUUGGACUAUUGGUAUUAAUUACCAAUCAUAUUUCAAUUCAUUUUUGGAGUACAUCACAAUUUCCAGAAUUUCAAUCUUGACUUUACUCUUAUUUUAGGCCAAGCUACAGCAGUAAUUUGAUUACACUUUCUACAUGAAAGUUGUUCCUUGUUGCCUUAACUUUAAUUUUCUUUUUGAAUCAGUCAAUUUGGAGUUAUCUAGCUUUAGUUAUAGUCAAUUUACUGAGUAUUGGUCCAGUAACCAAUAUUAUUCUAGAACAGGGUAAAUUCUGGAACUCAAGUUUGUCAAGCUAUUUGGACAAAUUAUAGGCAUAAUUUGGCUUGGUGUUCUUCAUAUAAGUUG
RNAcentral lists this unclassified non-coding RNA (443 nucleotides) under Hevea brasiliensis (rubber tree). The record is from RNAcentral. Lineage: Eukaryota; Viridiplantae; Streptophyta; Magnoliopsida; Malpighiales; Euphorbiaceae.